Molecule: ribosomal RNA, 516 nt
Filed under: uncultured bacterium
Lineage: Bacteria
Description: bacterial SSU rRNA
Rfam family: Bacterial small subunit ribosomal RNA
Source: RNAcentral
AAUCAACGCUGGCGGCGUGCCUCAGACAUGCAAGUCGAACGCGAAAGUUCCCUUCGGGGAGCGAGUAGAGUGGCGCACGGGUGAGUAACACGUAGGUAAUCUACCUUUGGAUGGGGAAUAACAACCGGAAACGGUUGCUAAUACCGCAUAAUGCAGCGGCACCUAAUGGUGACAGUUGUUAAAGCGGGGGAUCGCAAGACCUCGCGUCUAAAGAGGAGCCUGCGGCAGAUUAGCUAGUUGGUAAGGUAACGGCUUACCAAGGCGAUGAUCUGUAGCCGGCCUGAGAGGGCGGUCGGCCACACUGACACUGACAUACGGGUCAGACUCCUACGGGAGGCAGCAGUCGGGAAUUUUGGGCAAUGGGCGAAAGCCUGACCCAGCAACGCCGCGUGAAGGAUGAAAUCCCUCGGGAUGUAAACUUCGCAAGAACGGGAAGAAUAAGUAAGGGUUAAUAUCCCUUGCGAUGACGGUACUGUUUGUAAGCUCCGGCUAACUCCGUGCCAGCAGCCGCGGUAA